UCACCACUGCACCUCUGUGGGCACUGCUCCAGCUGAGGCACCCUGCCUGGCCCUUCUCCUGGUUUGGUCAUUUCCUACGCAGCCCUCGGAGUUGAUGGACGCCGUUUCCCACAGGACUGCUUCUCUCUGACGUCAGGGAAGCGUCUGACCUUGCCCACUCAGCCGGAAGCUACCUGAGAAGAGAGACUAUGUGUUCUGCAUCUCCAGCAUCGAGCCAAACAGUGUCCCACAGAAAACCUUUCACUGACAUGUGCUGACCGAAUACAGAAAGAGCUCAGAGCUGAGGUGUAAGGUUAGAAGAGGACAAUUAGCAGAAGCUUUCUGACUGGAAACACGGAACUCGUGACUGGUGACACAGUGACUGUGCCCUUCAUGUCCUGCCAUCUUCACCGGGCUCUUCGCACUAUGUGGCGCUGCUGCCGCUGCCUCUGAAUGUGUGCAAAUGCCCAUGAGCCCUUUCAGAUUUGUGUCCAUGGAGUAGGAAAGCUGAUUCUCAUUAAAAAAAUUGUUUAGACAA
Suricata suricatta (meerkat) is the source of this 517-nucleotide long non-coding RNA. RefSeq lists it as uncharacterized. Lineage: Eukaryota; Metazoa; Chordata; Mammalia; Carnivora; Herpestidae. The record is from RefSeq and is a predicted model, not a curated record. The transcript has 2 exons.